RNAcentral lists this ribosomal RNA (491 nucleotides) under uncultured bacterium. Its description in RNAcentral is "bacterial SSU rRNA". It matches the Rfam family "Bacterial small subunit ribosomal RNA", at positions 29 to 517 of the family's 1533-position model. The record is from RNAcentral.
AUUGAACGCUGGCGGAAUGCUUUACACAUGCAAGUCGAGCGGCAGCGCGGGGCAACCUGGCGGCGAGCGGCGAACGGGUGAGUAAUACAUCGGAACGUACCCAGUUGUGGGGGAUAGCCCGGCGAAAGCCGGAUUAAUACCGCAUACGACCUGAGGGUGAAAGGGGGGGAUCGCAAGACCUCUCGCAGUUGGAGCGGCCGAUGGCGGAUUAGCUAGUUGGUAGGGUAAAGGCCUACCAAGGCGACGAUCCGUAGCUGGUCUGAGAGGACGACCAGCCACACUGGAACUGAGACACGGUCCAGACUCCUACGGGAGGCAGCAGUGGGGAAUUUUGGACAAUGGGGGCAACCCUGAUCCAGCCAUUCCGCGUGAGUGAAGAAGGCCUCGGUGUAAAGCUCUUCGGUCAGGAACGAAACGGUAGAGGGCGUAAUACCCUUUAUCAAUGACGGUACCUGAGAAGAAGACACCGGCUAACUACGUGCCAGCAGCCG